GGGGGAAUAGCAAAGAGGCCGACUGCGGCAGACUGUAAAUCUGUUAUCCCACACGGUGGUUCGAAUCCACCUUCCCCCACCA
Molecule: transfer RNA, 82 nt
Filed under: Erwinia phage phiEaP8
Lineage: Duplodnaviria; Heunggongvirae; Uroviricota; Caudoviricetes; Schitoviridae
Also listed under: 1 other name
Description: Erwinia phage phiEaP-8 tRNA-Tyr
Rfam family: tRNA
About the family: Transfer RNA (tRNA) molecules are approximately 80 nucleotides in length. Their secondary structure includes four short double-helical elements and three loops (D, anti-codon, and T loops). Further hydrogen bonds mediate the characteristic L-shaped molecular structure. tRNAs have two regions of fundamental functional importance: the anti-codon, which is responsible for specific mRNA codon recognition, and the 3' end, to which the tRNAs corresponding amino acid is attached (by aminoacyl-tRNA synthetases). tRNAs cope with the degeneracy of the genetic code in two manners: having more than one tRNA (with a specific anti-codon) for a particular amino acid; and 'wobble' base-pairing, i.e. permitting non-standard base-pairing at the 3rd anti-codon position.
Source: RNAcentral